CCGCCAGAUGGAGCGCGGCGGCUCCGGCGACGUGCGGGGUCGCCAUCGACGUCCCCGAGAGGGUGUUGGUCGCCGUGUCGCUGGUGCGCCA
RNAcentral lists this transfer RNA (91 nucleotides) under Streptomyces bluensis. RNAcentral's name for it is "tRNA-Arg". Lineage: Bacteria; Bacillati; Actinomycetota; Actinomycetes; Kitasatosporales; Streptomycetaceae. The record is from RNAcentral.